Molecule: ribosomal RNA, 561 nt
Filed under: Clostridioides difficile
Lineage: Bacteria; Bacillati; Bacillota; Clostridia; Peptostreptococcales; Peptostreptococcaceae
Description: bacterial LSU rRNA
Rfam family: Bacterial large subunit ribosomal RNA
Source: RNAcentral
AUAGCUUUAGGGCUAGCCUCAAGGUGAGAGAUACGGAGGUAGAGCACUGAAUGUCCUAGGGGGUAUUGCACCUACCGAAGACUAUCAAACUCCGAAUGCCGUCAUCUUAUACUUGGGAGUCAGACUGUGGGUGAUAAGAUUCAUAGUCGAAAGGGCAACAGCCCAGAUCGUCAGCUAAGGUCCCUAAAUGUAAGUUAAGUGGUAAAGGAUGUGGGAUUGCACAGACAACCAGGAUGUUGGCUUAGAAGCAGCCACUCAUUCAAAGAGUGCGUAAUAGCUCACUGGUCGAGUGAUCCUGCGCCGACGAUUUCCGGGGCUAAAACUUACUACCGAAGCUACGGCAUCAGUAAUGAUGGGUAGGGGAGCUUCCCAUACGGGUUGAAGCAUGACCGUAAGGACAUGUGGACAGUAUGGGAGUGAGAAUGUUGGCAUGAGUAGCGAGAUGUGGGUGAGAAUCCCUCAGGCCGUCAACCCAAGGUUUCCAGGGUUAGGCUCGGCCGCCCUGGGUUCGUCGGGUCCGAAGCUAAGGCCGACAGGCGGAGGUGAUGGGCGACAGGUUGA